UGAGUGACCUACAAAGAGACUUAGACUCCCA
This 31-nucleotide non-coding RNA is filed under the name Homo sapiens (human). Lineage: Eukaryota; Metazoa; Chordata; Mammalia; Primates; Hominidae. The record is from RNAcentral.